UCCGUAUAUGAUCUGUUUUCAUCCCUAGGUCUAGCAUACUUAUAAGGUUUCAAACACGAAAAGAAAUUCAUUUGUGUAACAUAAUGACAACUGAUGAAGUCUCCUUAGUACAAAGAUAUGGACAUCCUGAUGUAGUGUAGGGUGGCUCUACUAUGAUGCCAACUUAUAACUUUGUCAUGCUUCUAGAAAACAUUAUAGGUGGUCCUGUGUAUCACAAAGUUAUAUUACACACCAACCAUAAUAAUCAGUGUAGGACAUGUCUUUUGAGGGGAACCAUUAUAUAUUUGAUCGUGGAACCCUCUACUUCAUCAUAUGAGCCCAAUUUGUCAAUGGCAGAAGUAAGAACAACACAAAAUGGUGGAUAAAGAGCACUGAGAUGGUUCAGAAGCAAAUAAUAGUUAUUCUCAAAUUGGAAUGGAAGGUGGAAGGAAAUAUGGUAUCGCUACAAGAAGUUCUUAUGCUAUUAGGGCAGCUCCUGUGUAGAGCGAUAACAAACCGUGGGCAGCUGAAAUCAAACCAUGCACACUACAGCAAGCGAACUGUGGUUCCUGAAUCUGGACUUGGACUUCAGAUAUGGUUCAGUUGUUGGGGAAUUAAAAAUAUUAGAUGAGGCGGCAGAUGUUGGGAGCAUCUGGCAUCGCACGCAAACGAGCAAACUCAAAGUGAUUAUUUAUUCAUCGUCGAGCCUAAAAAUCGAUGUCUCCACUGUAAUGGCUGAGCAGUGCAAAAGUGAAUCAAAUUCUAGGAGGUGAGGGAAGGAUUAUGAGUCCACAAGGAAAUGUGACCAGUCUAGUGUUGUGCAUACGUUUCAGCUCUAGUUCUCUUAAGCUCACACAUGCAUGUGGCAUAGCCGCAAGCUGGAUCGGCAUUAGCAUCUUGGACGUUUAAUGAUUGUAAAGAACUGAUAAGUAACAACUUAAGUGUCAUUUUUCCUCCAUAGUUUUGAAACCUCUAUCUGUAUACACUACCACAGAUUUGGUCUUUACUACCGGC
This 993-nucleotide long non-coding RNA is filed under the name Sorghum bicolor (sorghum). RNAcentral's name for it is "long non-coding RNA (SBIC_LNC002255)". Lineage: Eukaryota; Viridiplantae; Streptophyta; Magnoliopsida; Poales; Poaceae. The record is from RNAcentral.